This 467-nucleotide ribosomal RNA is filed under the name uncultured bacterium. Its description in RNAcentral is "partial 16S ribosomal RNA". It matches the Rfam family "Bacterial small subunit ribosomal RNA", at positions 29 to 507 of the family's 1533-position model. The record is from RNAcentral.
ACGAACGCUAGCGGCGUGCUUAACACAUGCAAGUCGAACGGAAAGGCCCUGCUUUUGUGGGGUGCUCGAGUGGCGAACGGGUGAGUAACACGUGAGUAACCUGCCCUUGACUUUGGGAUAACUUCAGGAAACUGGGGCUAAUACCGGAUAGGAGCUCCUGCUGCAUGGUGGGGGUUGGAAAGUUUCGGCGGUUGGGGAUGGACUCGCGGCUUAUCAGCUUGUUGGUGGGGUAGUGGCUUACCAAGGCUUUGACGGGUAGCCGGCCUAAGAGGGUGACCGGCCACAUUGGGACUGAGAUACGGCCCAGACUCCUACGGGAGGCAGCAGUGGGGAAUAUUGCACAAUGGGCGGAAGCCUGAUGCAGCAACGCCGCGUGCGGGAUGACGGCCUUCGGGUUGUAAACCGCUUUCGCCUGUGACGAAGCGUGAGUGACGGUAAUGGGUAAAGAAGCACCGGCUAACUACGUG